AGUGAGCGGCAAAGCUCAAAUUUGAAAUCGGGUUCCUUCACGGGCCGUAGAUUGCUUGUUGGAGUCUUUGUGGAAGCGUGUGUCUGACUCUCUUCCUACGAGCUGCCCUUGAUGGUGAGAGCCCCGUGAGACGCGCGCGGAAGCUGUAACGCCCUUCUAACUAUUCGAGUUGUUUGGGAAUGCAGCUCUGCGUGGGUGGUAAAUUCCAUCUAAGGCUAAAUAUUGGCGAGAGACCGAUAGCCCACAAGUACUGUGAAGGAAAGAUGAAAAGCACUUUGAAAAGAGAGUGAAACAGCACGUGAAAUUGUUGAAAGGGAAGGGUAUUGGGCUCUACAUGGGAUUUGCGCACCGCUGCUCCUUGUGGGCGGCUCUCUGGGCUUUUCCUGGG
This 388-nucleotide ribosomal RNA is filed under the name Pichia occidentalis. Its description in RNAcentral is "partial large subunit ribosomal RNA". It matches the Rfam family "Eukaryotic large subunit ribosomal RNA", at positions 92 to 488 of the family's 3401-position model. Lineage: Eukaryota; Fungi; Ascomycota; Pichiomycetes; Pichiales; Pichiaceae. The record is from RNAcentral.